Molecule: transfer RNA, 84 nt
Filed under: Felis catus (domestic cat)
Lineage: Eukaryota; Metazoa; Chordata; Mammalia; Carnivora; Felidae
Rfam family: tRNA
About the family: Transfer RNA (tRNA) molecules are approximately 80 nucleotides in length. Their secondary structure includes four short double-helical elements and three loops (D, anti-codon, and T loops).
Source: Rfam by way of RNAcentral
ACCUGGGUGGCUCAGUCGGUUGAGCGUCUGACUUCGACUCAGGUCAUGAUCUCGCGGCUGUGGGUUCGACGCCCGCAUCUGGUU